Molecule: ribosomal RNA, 466 nt
Filed under: uncultured bacterium
Lineage: Bacteria
Description: partial 16S ribosomal RNA
Rfam family: Bacterial small subunit ribosomal RNA
Source: RNAcentral
GACGAACGCUGGCGGCGUGCUUAACACAUGCAAGUCGAACGGAAAGGCCCUGCUUGCAGGGUACUCGAGUGGCGAACGGGUGAGUAACACGUGGGUGAUCUGCCCUGCACUUCGGGAUAAGCCUGGGAAACUGGGUCUAAUACCGGAUAGGAGCCAUUUUUAGUGUGAUGGUUGGAAAGUUUUUUUCGGUGUAGGAUGAGCUCGCGGCCUAUCAGCUUGUUGGUGGGGUAAUGGCCUACCAAGGCGGCGACGGGUAGCCGGCCUGAGAGGGUGGACGGCCACAUUGGGACUGAGAUACGGCCCAGACUCCUACGGGAGGCAGCAGUGGGGAAUAUUGCACAAUGGGCGCAAGCCUGAUGCAGCGACGCCGCGUGGGGGAUGACGGCCUUCGGGUUGUAAACUCGUUUCGCUAGGGACGAAGCUUUUUGUGACGGUACCUAGAGAAGAAGCACCGGCUAACUACGUG